This 67-nucleotide transfer RNA is filed under the name Bradyrhizobium japonicum. Its description in RNAcentral is "tRNA-Ala". It matches the Rfam family "tRNA", at positions 10 to 71 of the family's 71-position model. From Rfam's summary of the family: Transfer RNA (tRNA) molecules are approximately 80 nucleotides in length. Their secondary structure includes four short double-helical elements and three loops (D, anti-codon, and T loops). Further hydrogen bonds mediate the characteristic L-shaped molecular structure. tRNAs have two regions of fundamental functional importance: the anti-codon, which is responsible for specific mRNA codon recognition, and the 3' end, to which the tRNAs corresponding amino acid is attached (by aminoacyl-tRNA synthetases). tRNAs cope with the degeneracy of the genetic code in two manners: having more than one tRNA (with a specific anti-codon) for a particular amino acid; and 'wobble' base-pairing, i.e. permitting non-standard base-pairing at the 3rd anti-codon position. The record is from RNAcentral. Lineage: Bacteria; Pseudomonadati; Pseudomonadota; Alphaproteobacteria; Hyphomicrobiales; Nitrobacteraceae.
GCUCAGCUGGGAGAGCGCGUGCUUUGCAAGCAUGAGGUCGUCGGUUCGAUCCCGUCUGGCUCCACCA